RNAcentral lists this non-coding RNA (22 nucleotides) under Rattus norvegicus (Norway rat). The record is from RNAcentral. Lineage: Eukaryota; Metazoa; Chordata; Mammalia; Rodentia; Muridae.
CCCUGCCUGGUGCUCCUUCUGU